CUGUAAGUCUGGAACUGCCUUUGUGAAGUAGUUAAUGAAUAACCCUUUACCAUUUCUUCACAGAAUCUGGUUUUAAUUUUUUCAAAUUCUGCCACUCUACAAAAAUAAGUAAGAUUAAGAAAAUGCCAAAGGUGAUCAGAGCCACAGAUGAUACAGACAGAAUGUGGCAUUUUGAAAUUUGUGAAAGUGACCAGGUCUACAAAGAUUUUAUCACAACUGUGAAAAUAGCAUUUCUCCAUUCUACUUAAUUUUCCACAAAAAGGUAGGAUCAAUUUGUUAUCCAUAAAAUAGAGAAAUAAAUACAUUUUCUCCUAAG
RNAcentral lists this long non-coding RNA (316 nucleotides) under Fukomys damarensis (Damara mole-rat). RNAcentral's name for it is "lncRNA (ENSFDAG00000030793.1)". Lineage: Eukaryota; Metazoa; Chordata; Mammalia; Rodentia; Bathyergidae. The record is from RNAcentral.